AGCGAACGCUGGCGGCAGGCUUAACACAUGCAAGUCGAACGGGCAUCUUCGGAUGUCAGUGGCAGACGGGUGAGUAACACGUGGGAACGUACCCUUCGGUUCGGAAUAACUCAGGGAAACUUGAGCUAAUACCGGAUACGCCCUUUUGGGGAAAGGUUUACUGCCGAAGGAUCGGCGCGCUUCUGAUUAGCCUGUUGGUGGGGUAACGGCCUAUCAAGGCGACGAUCAGUAGAUGGUCUGAGAGGAUGAUCAGCCACACUGGGACUGAGACACGGCCCAGACUCCUACGGGAGGCAGCAGUGGGGAAUAUUGGACAAUGGGCGGAAGCCUGAACCAGCCAUGCCGCGUGAGUGAUGAAGGCCUUAGGGUUGUAAAGCUCUUUUGUCCGGGAAGCUAAUGACGGUACCGGAAGAAUAAGCCCCGGCUAACUUCGUG
This 435-nucleotide ribosomal RNA is filed under the name uncultured bacterium. RNAcentral describes it as "partial 16S ribosomal RNA". It matches the Rfam family "Bacterial small subunit ribosomal RNA", at positions 29 to 507 of the family's 1533-position model. The record is from RNAcentral.